CAAGAAGCAAGCAAGUGCACUCAUCUGCACUAGGUAAGCAAUCACCAUUUAAACAUCAAAACCUUGUGGUUCCAAUCAAAUGCAUACUUAAAGUCUAAGGUCCCAACCUGUCUGCCACAGAAGAUAAUGAUCAUAAUUGUAAAUUUACAUAUGAAAAAAAAUGCAUUGAACCCCAUCCCUAAAGUUCCAAAAUCAGCAAAAUAGAAGAUACUAACGGAAUACACAACAGUGAAUAAACACAAGCUUAAAUAAAAACAUAUAACAAAUAACAUUGACAGCUUAUCUCUGCUAUUACUUUUUCACAUAAACAGACUAUGCAAUUUCAAUUUGAAGGGUUUGAGGACAGUAGGUAUGACAGAAUAUAAAUAGAAUGAGGAGCAAGAGUGAAACGUAACCAAACAUUUAAAGCAAAACAAAAAGAAACAUCAUACCCUAAUCAGCCAUACAAGUUGCUCCAACACUUGUUAAUGGCUGCUUGAAUCCUUUUAGGUCUGCAAAGUUCUUGAACAACUCUUUCCCAAGUAGAGGUUUGAGGGGACAAAAACUUUUGCAGCAUCACUUCUACAAUCUUGAAACCACCCGAAGUUCGCUGUCGCUUAAAUAGUCGGAUUGCAAGUUCAUUCAAAAAAUCUGUUCCAUCUUGAGGUGCUUCAAGCUUCUCUUUUAAGGCUGUCAAAAAUAUAUUGCAUGUAACCAAGUCAGGAUCACAGCCCCGAUCCAUCAUGCUAUUUAAGAGAUCAAUGGAAUGAGAGAUGUUGCUUUGCUUGCACAAAGCAUUCAACAGUAUGUUAUAAGUGAAAACAUCAGGCUGAGACUUUGGCUCUAGGCAAAGCAUCUCAUUGAAAAGUUUCAAAGCUUCUUCUACCGACCCAGCAUUGCAGAGGCCGUGAAUCAUUGAACUAUAAGCCACAACAUCAGGUUUACAUCCUCUGCUCAGCAUUUGCGUCCACACCAUCCUAGCCUCUCGGAGCUUCCCAUCCUCACAAAGACCAUGAAUAAGCACACUGUAGCAAACCUCGUUGUAUACACAGUUAUUCUUUGCCAUGUCUUUCCAAAUUUCAACCGCCUUAUGACCUUUACCGCUCUCAAAGAAACCUUUCAUCAAGGAGCUAUAAGUAAAAGCAUUGGCUGCACAACCGUUAUUUAUCAUUUCAAAGAGAAUUUCUUCAGCUUCAUCUGGCUUGCCCACUCGACACAACCCGUCUAUAAGAGCACUGUAAACCACAGUGUUUGGCUUACAACCUUUUUCCAUCAUUUGCUUCCACAGUUUCAUUGCAUCUUCAGCCUUCCCCUCCUUAAAUAACCCACUAAUAAGAGUUGAAUAAAUGUACUCAUUCACAUGGAAUUUUCUUUCCUCCAUAGACAUCAACACACGAGCCCCAUCAACAGCUCUACCUAGCUUCACUAACCCAUUAAUGAUUGUCCCAUAUGUAACCUCAUUAGGCAUGCAUUUACUUGCUACCAUCCGAUCCAGGAGACUGACCGCCUUAUCCAAAUUCCCUUUAAGACACAAACCAUGAAUGAGCGUGUUAUAUGUAACCUCAUUAGGUAAACACCCUUUAAGAAACAUAUUAUCCACAAGCUUGGCCGCCCGUCCCAGUUCGCCAUUCUUGCACAACCCAUUAAUCAAAACAUUAAAUGUAACUGGAGUAGGAAAACAACCAUCAACUUGCAUUUCAUCUAAUAGCAAAACUGCCUCAUCAAGUCUGUUUUCUUUGCACAAUCCAUCCAUCAACGUACAGUAAGUAUAAAUAUCUGGUUCACAAUUCCUUACUGGCAUCUCUCUAAACAACUGAAUUGCAUUAUCAACCAAACCCAAUCUACACACUGUCUUGAUAACCAAAUUGAAAGUCAACGUAUUCGGCAAGAUAUUCAUGUGUUUGGCAUUAACAAUAUGAUUAUAAAACUCUAGAGCUCGAUGAUAUAGACCCUCUUGUAUGAUAACAUUAAGAACCGAAUUAAACGACUUAACAGUUCUUUUACAAUGAAACUCAUCAACCAUUGUAUGAAACAAACGAAUAGCUUCCUCGACUAAAUGGGCUUUACCAUAAGCCUUAAAUAUAAAAAUAAAACUCUUCUCUAAAACCACCCUCUUUUCGCGCCUCAUUCGAUACAGAACCAUCUCCAAAGACUUGAAAUCACCAGAAUUCGCAUAGUGUUGAAUGAGUGAAUAAAAUGUUGAAUCACCUAGCUGGUAAGAACCCAGUUUUGGAGUGGAGUUAAAUAUUUCAUCCGAGAAUGGUUGCUCUGAUUUGGCGUUGCCUUGGGGUUCAGUUUCCAUUUGUUUAUUUGAUGAAACUGCACUGCGAACAGAAAAGAAUCGAUGAGAACGCUCACUUGGGAUUGUUGUUAAAGAGAGUGUCUUCAUCUUCAUGGCCGAGUUGGUGAUGGUGAGAAGGAUUUUUGUGUGAGGAAGCGACCAUUUGCGCAUGGGUUCAACAGGGUUUCUGUUUUCUCAGGUUUCAAAGAGGAAUUCGAGAACUCGACAAACGAAAAGGGUCUUUAAUGGGUUUUGUUUUGUCACCUUGGAUGGAAGUUGGGCGAUAGAGACUCUUUCUUUUCUUUCAGAAAUUCGAUUAUGCCCCGCUACGUUUGCAGUUUGCUCAUAUUAAGCCAAAAGGCACAAGAAUUGAGGAAAAAUACUAUCAGAAAAAUAUUACAUUACCAAUAAUCCAGUAAAUAUUACAUCAGUUCACUUAAAUAUUACAUUACAUUACCAGAAAAAUACUAUCAGAAAAAUAUUACAUUACCAAUUACUAUUACAUUACCAAUAAUCCAGUAUACCAUAUACAGACAAAUACUAUCAGAAAAAUAAUUGAGGAAAAAGUGUUGUAAAUCUUAAUCCAUAAUUGCUAUCGGAUGAAAAUGAUAGUGAGGUAAAGUGUGAAUAUUUAGCUACCGUUUUAAUUGCUAUCCAUGUUUGACAAUCAGUUUGAAAGUUUAAGUUGAAGCACAAAAGUCCUAAGAGUAUCACCAAAAAUCUCUUUAAAUAAGAUUUUAUUACUUAUUUUAAGAGUCACAUCAAUAUUUAAACUUAUAAAAAACACUCUAAUUAAAAUUCUUCAAAUAAGAAAUUAUUACCUCUCUUCAAAUUUAGAGAGUUGAUUUGUCCCUUUUUAAUUUAUAUUUUAUUACUUUUUAUUAAAAAAAGAGAGAGAAGUGUUUUAAUUGCUAUUGAUUUUUUUCUUAAAAAAGAUAAUUAUUUGAUUAAAAUAAUAUUAAUUUAUUUUUAUUUGAAGAGUAUUUUAGAGAAUAUCAUAUUUUUUCACCCUUCUAUUUGACACAUAGGUAAGUAAAUAAAUAUUUGAAGAGUAAAAUUUAUAAAGAUUUUUGAAGAUACUCUAACAUAUCUUAUUAGACGUAUAUCUUUUCUACUGUUCCACGUAUAAUGGUGAUCUUUUAUGAAAGUUUGAAAACCGUGUCAUGCGUAGAGGUUGUUGUAAGCCAAUCAAAAUAAAACCGAACCUUGCCAUGGUCUAGCAAGCAAGCGGUUUCUUAUUGCAUUAGACUUUGAUACACAACAGAGUUUUAUUUAUUGCCCCAACAAAUAUUCUGUAGAGUUCAAGCUGCUGCUUCAGCUGCAGAAGUGACCUUCUUCAGAACAAAAACAGGAUCCCCAAGAUUAAGCACCUUUCCGUUUCCUUCAGUAAGGUUAUCCUUGCACACCAUGUUCUGCCCAAAGUAUAUCUGCAAGAUAAUAUGUUUCCAUUUGUUAUGCUUUUAUCAUCAAAUGCCAGACUUAUAAAUCUUGGAUUAAAAAUUCACCUUUCCCCGCUGUUUUCGACCUGGACGCAAAACUUUAUCUGAUCUAAUCUGCUUUAGAGUCUCAUUUGGUUCAGGACCGGCAUCGCCAGUGUCUUGAUUGAUUGUUGGAAUCUGGAAAACAAUCUCUGCAAUGUUAAAAACAUAACAAAUGGAGGCAUAGCUUCGAAUAUUUCUUACCAAAUGUAUAACAGUACUCACCAACAAAAGUGACCAACAAAAUGAUUGAAUGGAAAUUUAGAACAAAAGAUGCAGAAAUGAAGAAAGAUAGCCUUUUACCUUACAGCGGGAGCACAGCUUAACACCUUGAAACGUGAACUUGUUUAUUCGGACCUCGGUCCAUGUGUCCUCAGAAAACGGUUCACAACCAUCAACAAGGAUGCUGCCAAAUCCCAAUAUAAAUAAGAAAUCCAUACACCAAACGCAUGAGGAAAAUAAUGUGGUUAACAAAGGAGAGGGGGAAGAAAAGAACUAAUGCCGUAAAAAAUAUCAAGACAGAAACUGUCAGGAUAUGAGGCAAUAAUUAGUAUGGGUUCCUCCACAAGACCAAAACAUAAUUCCAACAAUGAACAAUGUAAAGAAGAUGCUAUUUUAUAAAAGAAAUUUGUAUGCUGUCCGAUAAUAGACAGAUAUUGCAUGAUUCUGAUUUUUGAAUUAUACUUGGGCCGAAAACGGUUAAUUGGAACAGGCUCCUUGAGAAGCUUAUUUAGUGCGUCCAAAGAUCCCUGCAAAAGAUAUUUUUAUAAGCUUACAGUUUGAGAUUUCAUGUCAUAGGAAAAAUGAUGCACAUUACAGGUUCAUAAUGGCGAAUUACCUGAGACAAUAACAUAAAUGGAUACCCAUCAGAAAACAUUGUUAUCUGUCCAGCAGCAUAUUCAGGAUCCACAGGUCUAGUUUCUGAUUCUGCACCAGCAAAUAACGCAGCCAGAUUAUCAACCACCUAACUUAGAUUGUGAAUAUAUAACACAACCUAAAUUCAUUCAGACAAAAAAUGGGUCAUGCCCAUGUGGCCCCUGUGAUACAAAUAAUUUUGCUACAGCAUUUCCUACCUAAAGCAUUCCCCUUUUAACUCUUGUUACUGGUUAGUGCAAUCAAUGCCCUAUUCUUAAGGAAGUACCAAAUCAGACCCAACCUGCAUUAUAACGGACUAGCCGACUAGAUUUCCCAAGGUAAUUCGUAAACCAAUUUGAGGCUUCAGCUCCCUCAUCCAAAGCAGAGCCAGACCACUCCCAUACGGAAACACCAUCUGCUAUAUCACAUGGUUUGCUCAUUGGAAUCUUAAGAGCCUGCAUCCCUGGAGCUCUUAUCACUGUAAGGGAAAAAGUCAAGUUAUGCUUGAAUAUCAGAUAAAAGAACAGGCAAAAACAUCCUUCAUAAACUAUCUGAGAAGAAAAAAGAAGCAUAUAAACUAAUACUAGCUCCACAAUAAGAAAUAUGAGAGAAAAAGUAUUCAGUCAGAGAUAAAUAAUAUUUUAUUAUAAAUAGAUUCAAACCAUGAAGAUCAAGCUGUAUGGGCUGUUACCAUAUCCAUUAAUACUAACUUAGUAGCAUGGCAAAAAUAAGAGACCAAUCAAGUGAUGGGUACAAAGGCUAAACACAUCUUACGAUUUUCUUGACUAAAAUACUAAGCCUCAGAGAAAAAUAAAUGAAAAUCUAGCAUCAUUUCAGGGACUAUGAGAAAAAAAACUUCAGAAUUAGAUUAACAUGAAGCAUUUCAAUUAUCUGACAGAUCAAAGGGAAUAAAAUUGUAUUCCUUUAACAUCUAGGCUUGAGCAACUAAAUUCUUUUAUGCUAUAACUUGGUAUAAUAUGUGUUUAAAAUAUUUUAUGAGAUUAUAUAACAACUGUAAUUUCAACAAGUUCCGUAGCAAAACAGAAAGCAAGGAUUACCCAUAUAUGAACUUCCGGUAGGUUCCCAUCCCUCUAAAAAUGCCUCAUUUGGCAGCUCGAUCUGGACCAGAGCAAGCUUUGGCUCGUUUCUCUGAGUGUAUGCUCUCCCUUUGUUAUUUAUUACCAUCCACUGUCUAUCCCAUCGAAAUCCUGUAUAUAGCAAACAAACAUGUAUAAAUAGAAACAAAUUAAGCUUGCAUGUCAAACCUCUAGCCUCAACUUAAUCUAAUUGUUUGGGAGCUCAGACAUCAAAAUUUAUGCAAGUCUUAUCAACAUCCACAAAGAACAGCGUGUUGCUGCUGUAGUGAUAUGAAAAGUCUUUCAACAUAUGGAGAUGUCAAAGAAAUCAAAUCAUCUCAGAGUUGCAAAAUUAUUACAAGUAAUCUAUUUUAACAACCGUAUUCAGGUUUAGAUUUUCAAUUAAUUUCCAAACCUAAUUGCAAAAUUGCUCUAGCUUAUCAACGACAGAAGGCUAAUUAAGACUCAUACAAAUAUUGCAUUGAAGAAACUGGUCAAACUUGAUAAAAUUUAAACCAAGUUAAAUCAUCUCAGAGCACUAGUAUUCAUUAUAAUUAUAUUUUAAUGCAAAAAUCAAUAGACAGUGAGAAAAAGAUUCUCUGGGUCAAAACAACAAAAUUGCAUUAAAAAAAAAAAUUAAGAAACGAAAAUACAACAAUAAUAUCAGAAUGAAACAGUUACAGUUCUUGGAUUUAAUAUACCGGUAGGAGUGAGCGGUGCCUGAGAAACAGAAAUGCCCCGACAUGAUUUAAUUGGGUAUACAAAGAUUGAAGUGACUUUGCCUGCAGCCUCCAUUUUCUCACUCGCAGUUUUUUCUUUGCUUGUCGACUCAGUUCAGGUUCAGCUACUGCUCAUGCUUUCAAUAGUUUUUGCAUGACUAAUAUGUAUAAUACGUGUUAUCAAAUCGAGGGCAAUUACGAUUUACGAAGACAAAGGAUACAAAAACAAAUUAUUUACCUUAAUUAAUUUAUCAUAUAUACAGAUGUUUUUAUUCGAUCAGCAUCUAUCAUUUUUCUUUUCGUAUAUUGUCAUUAUUCUAUGGAGAAGUCUGUUCAAAAUUUUGCACCCACGGGUCAGAUAAAUUUCAGUAGUCAGAGCACCUGACCUAAGGUUGGCCCAUCUUUUUACUUUGUUUUAUUUAUAUCUAAAGAGGUGUGCGCACAAGCUGAUAAGCAUAGGACUGUUCUUGCCACAUAUGAGAGUUGGAGGAUUUGGUUGGUGGGGGAGCCAGGCGGCGGAUUAUAUAAAGAAAAAAAAAAAAAUUUAUAAACAAUAUCGAUGUCUCUGGAAAUGGCACCUUGCUGUGGCAUAGCAAGCAACAAACCAGUUUCUUAUUCCACUAGACAAUGAUACACACACAACAGAGUUUAAUUUAUUGGCCCCAACAACAGCAUUAGCAUUACUAACAAAUAUUCAAUAGAGCUCAAGCUGCUGCCUCAGCUGCAGAAUUGACCUUCCUCAUGACAAAAACCGGAUCCCCAAGUUUAAGCACCUUUCCAUUACUAAGGUUGUCCUUCCACACCAAGUUCUGCCCAAAGUAUAUCUGCAAGAUACAAGAUAAUGCUUUUCUUUUGUUGUGCUUUUAUCAGGUGACAGAUUAUACUCGGAAGUUUUGGAUUCGAAAAUAGCUCACCUUUCCCUGCUGUUUUUGAUUUGGACGCAAAACUUUAUCUGACCUAAUUUGCCUUAGUGUUUCACUUGGUUCGGGACCAGCAACACCAGUGUCUUGAUUGAUAGUUGGCACCUGGAAAACAAUCUCUGUAUUGUUAAAAACAUGAAUACAAAUGGAGGUAUCGCUUGGAAAAUCUCUCAGUGAAUGGACCACAGUUCUCACCUAGACAAGUGACCACAGAAAUGAUAUUUAGUUGAAUGAAACGUUUUCACAAAAGAUGCAGAAAUGAAGAAAGAUAACUUUUACCUUACAGCGGUCACACAGCUUAACACCUUGAAAUGUGCAAUUGUUUAUUCGGAUGCCCAUCCAUAAGUCCUCAGAAAACGGUUCACAACCAUCAACAAGGAUGCUGCCAAAUUCCAGUAUAAAAAAGGGAUUCAUACACCAUACAAAAUGAGAAAAAUAAUGUGGGUAAUUAAAGAGGGGCGAGAAAACUAUGCCAUAAAAAAUUAUCAACAUAGUGAGACCAAUAUACAGUUUCGGGGGGGGGGGGUCAAUGUACAAUGAAAAGCAGAUGCUAUAUACAUAUAAACAAAGGAUACUUUUAGAUAAUAAACAGAUAUUGUAUGAUUCUGAUUUGUACUUUGGUCGAAAACGGUUAAUUGGAAUAGGCUCCUUGAGAAGCUUAUUAAGUGCAUCCAAAGAUCCCUGCAAAAGAUUCUUUUAUAAGCUUACGAUUUGAGGUUCUAUAACAGAGGAAAGAUGAUGUACAUUACAUGUUCAUCAUGUUGAGUUACCUGAGACAACAGCAUAAAUGGAUAACAAUCAGAAAACAUUAUUUUCUCUCCAGCAGCAUAUUUGGGAUCGACAGGUCUAGUUUCUGAUUCUGCGGUACCAAAUAAUGCAGCCAGAUUAUCAACCACCUAAACUUGGAUACUGAAAAUAUAAAACGACAUAAUUUCAUUCUACCAAAAGGAAUGGGUCAUAUGCCCUCACCAAUCCGGCCUGCAAUACAAUAUUUUUUGCUAAAGCAGUUCCCUACCAGAAGUAUUUUGCUUUUUACUCGUGCCCCUAGUUACUAGUUACUGCACCCAAUGUCUCAUUUUUAAGAAAAGCACCAAAAUCAAACCCAACCUGCAUUGUAACGAACUAGCCGACUAGGUUUCCCAAGGUAAUUUGUAAACCAAUUUGAAGCUUCAGCUCCCUCAGCCAGUGCAGAGCCACACCACUCCCAUACGGAAACACCGUCUGCUAUAUCACGGGGUUUGCUCAGUGAAAUUUUAAGAGCCUGCAUCCCUGGAGCUCUUAUUACUGUACAGGAAACAGUUGAGUCCAAUUUGAAAAUCAGAUAAAACAACAGGCAAAAAACAACUCAUGUUCUAUCUGAGAAGAAAAAAGAAGCAUAUUAAUACAAACUCCAGAAUAGGAAACAGUUGCGAUAAAUUUUUCAUUCAAAGAUAAAUAAUAUUUGAAAAUAGAUCAAUCUAUGAAGAUCAAGCUGGAUGCGCCCAAAGCACUACUAACUAUACCCAUUAAUACCAAUUUUGAAAUGAUAGAAAGGAAUCAUGGUGAAAAAAAUAGACCAAUUGAGUGACAGGUACAAAAGGUGUAACAGGAUACAGUCCUAACCACCAUGACAACUAACACUAUAUUUAUAUUUGUCCACAUCAAAUAGAACAUACUAUUUGCCCGUCUCAUUUCCUCUAAUUCAAACAAAUAUGUGAGAAUGAUCACUGAAUCUUAGAUUAUGAAUUAUGUAAGCAGCAAGAAAUGCUUUCCACUUGUGGUGAUGGAUAAACUGCAGUAAAUAGGAGAUUCAAUUCACAAACAUGAGGUAUGACAAGUCAUUAGAAAAUCCCAGAAUUCUUUAAGAUUAUAACCUCUUAUGAAUUUUUCUCAACUUAUAUACUCAAAUAUAAAGAGAUUUGAUAACCUUAGAGAGAAAAAAAGAAAAAUGAAAACCCAGCAUCUCUUUUCAGGGAACAUAAGAAAAGCUAUUAAACUCCACAUCUAGGCAUUAACAGCUAAAUUCUUUUGUGCUAUAACUAGGUACUAAUUUGGCUUACAUGAAACUAUAUAACAACUGUAAUUUCAGAAAAAUUAUGUUGCAAAAUAGAAGAACUAGAAUUACCCAUGAAUGAUCUCCCAGUGGGUUCCCAUCCUUCUAAAAAUGCCUCAUUUGGCAACUCUGUCUCAACCAGAGCAAGCUUUGGCUCGUUUCUCUGAGUAUAUGCUCUCCCGUUGUUAUUAAUUACCAUCCACUGUCUAUCCCAUCGAAAUCCUGCAUAUAGCAAACAAACAUGAACAAAAAGAUGUGAAAAAGCUUGCAUGUCAAACUGCUAACCACAACUUAAUCCAAUUGUUUAGGAGCUCAAAAUGUUAAAAGUUAUACAAGUCUAUCAACAUCCGCAAAGAACAGCAAGGUGCUGCUUUAUUGAUAUGAAAAUCAUUACACCAUAUGGAGAAGUCAGUGGAAUCGAAUCAUCUCAGAAUUGCAAAAUUAUUCAAGUAACCUUUAUUGACUACAGUAUUCAGGUUAGUUUUUCAAUUAAUUUUCGAAAUCGAAGUUGCAAAACUGCUGUGGCUUAGCAACAACAGAUGGCUAAUCAGACUUCAUUUAUGGAUAUAAUUCAUUGAAGAUAUUUGUUCAAAGAAGCACUAGCACACAUGAUUAUUUAAAACAUGAUUAAAAUUUAAAAAAUAAAAUAAAAAGGCCUCUCAAGUCAACACUGAAUCAAGAGCUGAUGGAAAGAUUUUAUUUUUCCUAAUUUAUUUAACUGAUAAUGAAACAAUAAAAUAAAGACAUUCACAGAUGCACAUAAGUUACUCCCAACAGAGUUUUAACUAAGAAAAAUGCAAGAAACUGAUAAGAGGAGCACAUAGAAUUCAUUACACUGAUAUUUUAAUCCACAAAUCAAUUAAAAGAGAGAAAAAGAUCAUCUGGGUCAAAGCGACAAACAUGCAUGAAAUAAAUAAAUAAAUUAGCAUGAAAAAAAUGUAAUAAUUGGAUUGAAUAUAAGCAUAUAACAUACCAGUAGGAGUGAGGGGUGCCUGCUGAGAGACAGAGAUGCCUCUGCAUGAUUUAAUUGGGUAUACAAAUAUUGAUUUUACUUUGGCUGCAGCCUCCAUUUUUCUCAGUAGCUCUCACUGUUUUCCUUUGCUCGAUCGUCAGCUACUGCUUAUGGUUGUUGAACUUUUGUACUGCUCAAGAAUAAGACAAAGCUCAGUGCACCCAACUUUGGCCCACUUAUCUAGAUUCCAUGUCUUUUGUUUUUAAUGGAUCUCUAGAUUCUCUGUUCAUACAACACCUAUCUCGUUCUGAUUGAUUUACUUUUCUCACACGAUAAAAAUAUGCUAAUAGAAGAGAAGGAUAAUCGUCCAAGCCUAGAGAUUGUCAUAAUUGAUGGUGUCAUUACUCACUGGGACAAAAUUGUUGACACGUUAACUUUUGAUUUUUAUUUUUUAUACAUAUAUAUAUAUAUCUAAACAAAAGAGUUUACAUGAGCCAGUUGGAUAAGAGACUAAUCAAGUUAAGCUGAUACUUAAUAUAGUCCCAAGAUGAUGACUUAAUAUAGUCCCAAGCAUCCACAAACACAUUCCAACAAAUAAUGGCAGAAUAAUUAAGGGACAAGCUGCUCUCGCUUUGUCCAAAAAUUUUCAGAGGAUAUAUUCUAUCUAAUAAGCUAAAAUUAAAAAUUUUCCCCUUGAGUUAAUUAAAUGCAUCAAAUUUAAAUUUAAAUUUAUUCUAAAAUCACACACAAAUCUCAUCUAUGUAUAAUUUAUUAGUCCAAUGAUAUAAUUUAAAUGCUUAGAAGGCAAUUAAAUCCAUUAAAAACAAGGCCUGAGAUCUAAAUAUUUGAUUAGAUUUACACAAAUAUCUAACUUAAUAUUAAAAUCCAUGAAAAUGAAAUUUAUUAUUAAAAAAAAAACCUACUCUUCAAUUUUCAAAAUUUAACUACCUUUUCUUAAGGUGUGUGUAAGGAGAAAUACUAAAAAAAAAUUAGAAAAAUAGUGAACCAAGACUAUAAAUUUUUUGUUCUUCAUAUUUUAUGUUGAUCAUUUUACCCUUAUUAGUUUGAUUUUCUGACGACCUACAAUGCGUAUGCAUGAUAGAAUAAACUCAAAUUCUCUUAUAUCCAAAAGAACGAGAGCACUUAAAAACCAUAUUUUGGGUUAAACUAUAAGAAUUUAUCCAUCUAUAUUACAAAUGCACCGUUACAAAGAGAAUCUUGGAUUAUGAUUUAUGAUGAUGAGACAAUUUAGCGGUAGAAUCUCUUUCUAACCAAACAAGUUAAUGGAACCUGAAAAUGUUUUCAUUACUCUAUAAAUUUAUCACACAACUAUGGAAAAUAAAUAUUCCAAAGGAUCGGAGAAUAUCACAAAAUCUUAUCUUACAUUAAAAGUAACGUUUCAACAAAAAGUAAAAAAUGAAAAAGAAGAAACAAAAUUGACAAACAAUGUUUUUGAGUAUAUUCUGAAAUAAAAAAAGUGAAUUGCAAUUGUUCCACUUUAAGCAUAUUCAUCCAUGGACCAGUUAAUCACAAAUGAAUCCCAUAAAAAGGAAAAAAAAAAAAAAAGAUACGUUGGCAUCAGAAAUAAAAUUAUAAAGCUUUUUCUCUUUUUCUAAAACUUUUUUUUUCAUGUUUUUUAAUCAAUCAAAAACUUUGAUACCAUGAAAAAAAAAAUCAAAAAUCAAAAUCCACCAACAAAAAUAUCAGUUUCUGUAACCAACAAGUAGAAAACAUUGGAAGUUCUAUUACUAUACCAAUUGAUCCCCAAGGCGAAUUAAUAAACUCGGUUUGGAUACGGAUGCAACUACAAUAACUGAAACCAAAAAGAUUGGCCAAAAUUUGCAGCAUUGUAUCUCUAACAACUGCCGGCAGCAUGAACCGAGGAAGCAAUGAAAUAAUUAUACAGCCAUACCUUAGGGAUUCAGUCAAUUUGGUAACACAUUAAAAGAUCUUUCUUCUUUCGAACGGGACAAUCUUCAAGUAAAAUACUCUCUAUUUUGUAUUCCGUUUGCCAUCAAUCCGAAAAAAAAAAAUCUUAGGCCUUCUAUCCAACCCAGCAACAAGCAGCAACUGAGCAUUAUGAUGGAACUGAACUGAAUUAAUAGGACCAUUUACUGUUCCUCUUGGCACUGCUUUUCAUAACAAUACGUUCAUCCGUUCUAAGCUUCAACAUCCUCGUACCAAUAGAGGCACAGAGCCACCGUUGCGUGAUUUUCUUUCAUCACCAUAAAGGCCAUCACCCCGGAAUAGGGGCCUAUUUGAUACUAAUGGAAACACUUUGCCCUUUUUUCUAAAAAUGUUAAAAAACUAAAAAUAAAAAAAUCAGGGAUCCACAUGUUAAUUAACGAAUUUUUAAAAAUUUUCAGAAUUAUAGGAAAUUUUAUUUAUUAGGAGUCAAGACCAUGUUUGGUUCUGUUACUUCUGCUAAACCACUUUCUCACGUGAGCAAAAGCUUGAAACUCCUUUUAACUGUAAUAACCACCAAAUGGCUUCCUCCGCUCAGUGUCUCACUCUCCUCCCUUCGCCGCCUCUCUCUUCCCUCCAAACCCACCAACUACCGGCAACCACCGCUACGUCUUUGCCGCUACCCGGUUCCCAAACACGGUCUAAGGAGUCGUGGAUCGAGUCCCUUCGCUCCCAAACCCGCUCCAAUCAAUUCCGUGAAGCCAUUUUGUCCUACAUUGAGAUGACUCGUUCGGAUAUUCAACCCGACAACUUUGCUUUCCCAUCCGUCUUGAAGGCCGUGGCGGGCAUCCAGGACUUGAGCUUAGGGAAGCAGAUUCAUGCCCACGUUGUCAAGUACGGGUACGGGUUAUCUUCAGUGACGGUAGCCAAUACCCUUGUAAAUAUGUAUGGUAAAUGUGGUAGUGAUAUGUGGGAUGUGUAUAAGGUGUUUGAUAGAAUUACUGAGAAGGACCAAGUUUCUUGGAAUUCAAUGAUUGCUACUUUGUGCCGUUUUGGGAAAUGGGAUCUAGCAUUGGAAGCGUUUAGAAUGAUGUUAUAUAGCAACGUGGAGCCUAGUUCGUUUACCUUGGUCAGUGUGGCUCUUGCUUGUUCAAAUUUGAGUAGGCGUGACGGUUUGAGGCUUGGGAGGCAAGUACACGGGAAUAGUUUACGCGUAGGUGAAUGGAAUACGUUUAUUAUGAAUGCUUUGAUGGCAAUGUAUGCCAAAUUAGGUAGAGUUGAUGAUGCAAAAACUUUAUUUAAGUCAUUUGAGGAUCGUGAUUUGGUGUCAUGGAACACCAUCGUCAGUUCAUUAUCUCAAAAUGAUAAGUUCUUAGAAGCAGUGAUGUUCUUACGCCAGAUGGCACUUAGAGGAAUUAAACCUGAUGGGGUCUCAAUCGCGAGCGUGCUUCCUGCUUGCUCACACUUGGAGAUGUUAGAUACUGGCAAGGAAAUUCAUGCAUAUGCAUUGAGAAAUGAUAUUUUGAUUGACAACUCCUUUGUGGGUAGUGCUUUGGUUGACAUGUACUGUAAUUGCAGAGAGGUUGAAUGUGGUCGUCGAGUUUUUGAUUUUAUUUCAGAUAAGAAAAUUGCACUUUGGAAUGCUAUGAUUACUGGUUAUGGACAAAAUGAGUAUGAUGAGGAGGCAUUGAUGCUAUUCAUUAAAAUGGAAGAAGUUGCAGGGCUUUGGCCAAAUGCCACCACAAUGUCAAGUGUUGUGCCUGCUUGCGUGCGCAGUGAAGCAUUCCCCGACAAAGAAGGAAUCCAUGGACAUGCUAUAAAGCUAGGUCUGGGGAGGGACAGGUAUGUGCAAAAUGCACUCAUGGACAUGUACUCUAGAAUGGGGAGGAUAGAGAUUUCAAAAACCAUUUUUGAUGACAUGGAGGUUAGAGAUACAGUUUCUUGGAACACAAUGAUCACUGGUUACACUAUUUGCGGUCAGCAUGGUGAUGCACUUAUGCUGCUGCGUGAGAUGCAAAACAUGGAAGAGGACAAGAAUAGGAACAAUGUUUAUGAUCUGGACGAGACAGUACUUCGUCCGAAACCAAAUUCCAUAACCCUCAUGACUGUCCUACCUGGCUGUGGCGCCCUGUCAGCUUUAGCAAAAGGGAAAGAGAUCCAUGCUUAUGCCAUUAGAAACAUGUUAGCUACCGAUGUUGUUGUAGGAAGUGCAUUAGUUGACAUGUAUGCUAAAUGUGGUUGCUUGAACUUUGCGAGAAGAGUUUUUGAUCUGAUGCCUGUCAGAAAUGUGAUCACCUGGAAUGUUAUUAUCAUGGCUUAUGGGAUGCACGGAGAAGGACAAGAAGUCUUAGAAUUGUUAAAGAAUAUGGUGGCAGAAGGAAGUAGGGGAGGAGAAGUGAAGCCUAAUGAAGUCACUUUUAUUGCAUUAUUUGCAGCAUGUAGCCAUUCAGGGAUGGUAAGUGAAGGUAUGGACUUGUUCUACAAAAUGAAAGAUGAUUAUGGGAUUGAACCUUCGCCAGAUCACUAUGCUUGUGUUGUGGAUUUGCUUGGUAGAGCAGGUAAAGUGGAGGAUGCAUAUCAACUUAUAAAUAUGAUGCCUCCUGAAUUUGACAAAGCUGGUGCUUGGAGUAGCUUGCUUGGUGCCUGUAGGAUUCACCAAAAUGUAGAAAUUGGGGAAAUUGCAGCUCAAAAUCUCUUCCUCUUGGAACCUGAUGUGGCAAGCCACUAUGUUCUGCUCUCAAACAUUUACUCUUCUGCUCAACUCUGGGACAAGGCAAUGGAUGUCCGGAAGAAGAUGAAGGAAAUGGGAGUAAGAAAAGAACCAGGUUGCAGUUGGAUCGAGUUUGGUGAUGAGAUUCAUAAGUUUUUAGCUGGGGAUGGAUCACAUCAACAAAGUGAGCAGCUCCAUGGUUUCCUCGAAAACUUGUCUGAAAGAAUGAGAAAGGAGGGCUAUGUGCCUGAUACUUCUUGUGUUCUUCACAAUGUAAAUGAGGAGGAGAAAGAAACAUUACUCUGUGGACACAGUGAGAAGUUGGCGAUAGCUUUUGGUAUCCUCAAUACCCCUCCUGGAACUACCAUCAGAGUUGCCAAAAACCUCAGAGUUUGCAACGACUGCCAUCAGGCUACUAAGUUCAUCUCAAAGAUAGAAAGUAGAGAAAUUAUCCUAAGAGAUGUGAGGAGGUUCCAUCAUUUUAAAAAUGGAACUUGUUCUUGUGGAGAUUAUUGGUAAAAAAAAGAAAAAAAGAAAAAGAAAAAGAAAAGUGAUUGAUUUUUGUUGUUAAUGCAAGAAGCAACAAGUAUUGUUGAGACUCAAGUGCCACUAUUAAAUUAUAUACGUUCAAUUCCAAAGUUGUAUCACAGAAAUGUACCAAACAUGAAUUUCUUGUAGUUUCAACAUUCUUUUGAAGCUUUUUGAAGCGUUGAUGUAAAAAGAGGAAAGGAAAAUGACAAUUGUGUAGUUGUCUAAUUCCUUUUGCUGCCUCGAAAGUCGAUAAUUCUUUUGAUUUCAUACAUUAUUUUUUCUUUUCCGAUAACACAUGUUUAUCUCUCAUUUUUUAAGUAGAAGGCAGCAGCUUAUGCUUUAGGGCUUCAACUGCCAGAAUGUUAUGGCAACAAAAUUAACCAAUUCGCUGAGCAUCUCCCUAAUAUGCUGGCCACUUUUGAGUGUUAAUAGGCACGAACUAGUCCAUAACAUAAAACCAACAAAUACUUCAAUUUCCAUUCAAGAAGGAAACUCUACUCAGUAUCAGUAACUGGGCACAAAAUGGAAAAUCUCACAAAAAACGGAUAAGUUUUUAUAUUCCACAAGCUAAAACAAAGGUACCAAAACCAGUUGCAUUUCUUCUUUCAAAUCAUUAAUGAUCCAAUUCCCAGGUAAUUCAGAGGUAGAAUAUCUACUUGCUGCGCUUGGCUGCACGCUUCCCUUGGCCUUUCUUGGGAGGUCCCUUUCCACGACGUUUCAACAUUUCAAGCUUGGAUAAGCGCCUGCCAAGGUAAAUCAAUAGAAUGUAUCACACUUACCAAAAACCAGCAUGCAUAACUAUAAUUGUUAUAGCUAAAAAGAAUCAUAUUCAACAAGCAAGCAGUUCUUACAAUAAAAGAAAAAAAUCGAAGCACAGAAGUCAUGGGAACCAUUAGCAGAAUAUCAUGUUGCAAUUGCUAGCAAAUAGCACCAUGCAAACAAACAAAGAGCAAAUAUUUAAUGGGUAUGAGAGAUUACUCUUGUUGUUGGCGGGCCAUGACGAGAGGAUCAUCUUUCUUGAUGUCAUAUGGGUACCAUCCAGCAACCUUGUCACCGAUGAGCUUCUUCCGCAAAAUCUUGUGGGGUGAUCUCUGGCCAGCGGGGUUAAGUACAUGCCCAAAUAUCUUGGCCCUCGCCUCAGUCAGCCCUGUGGUCACUACUGUGGCCAAAAUGUUCUUAAGCCUCCCUCCUGUAGCCAUCGUCACUCGCCAACUCUACCUGACACAACAACAAACAUAAGGCGUACACAACAGUUGAUGCCCGUUGAGGCAUUUUAUCAAACAGUUGAUGGUGCGGGGAUAAAUUGGUGAGCAUUCUUAUCAGCGAAACGUAAUAGUUAUUGUAAACAUUAAAAGAUAAAAAUACUAAGCUUGCGUUACAUAAAUAAAGAUUUAUUCGUUUUGUUUGUGUUUCUAAAAUAUGAAAACAAGAGCAAAUGAAAAUCACUAGAGAGACUCAGAGAGCGCGCGGAGGAAGGGUUGGCAAAAUCCAGAUUCGGAUCCGGGUGUAUGUGCAUUCAGAUCCGGAUCCGGAGUGCCAUUAUCAUAUCUUGAUGCGGGUAAAAUCCGCACCGAAUCCGGACGGAUAUUCCGCAUAUCCGGAUCCGCAAAACAUAAAAUUAAAUAAUUAAAAAUAUAAUUAAAAAACUCAACAAUUUAAUUAAUAAUAUAAAUAAAAUUCAAUUAUAAUCCAACGAUUAACAAAUUUCCAGUAGAUUACACUUAUAACUCAUUAAAUAAUAAAUACAACAAAAAAAUUAACACAAUACCAAGUUAUUAACCAGAAAAAAAUUCAAUCAACAAUAAAAUUAAAUUAAACCAGCAAUAUUUUCAAGUUUAAACCAUUUACAUUAAAUUAAAGUUGUUAAAUACAAUUAAAUAAUUAAUCACAAUACCAAAUUAUUAACCCAAAAAAAAGCCAUGUAUUUAAUAAAAAAAUAGAAAAGUAAAUGAAAUAAGGGAGCAAAAUCAAUACGGGCAAAUUAAUUUCUUGGACGAGCACGGCGGCGUCACAGCAAGCCUUCGACGACCACCGCGAGGCUUGGACGGCGAAGCUUCAAUGACAGAUCGGGGGGGCGAGCUUCGGCAGAUCGGGCGUGGGCCGCGCGGCUUCAGCGAGCUGGGAGGAAGACGCCUCACGGCGAGUCGGCCACUGGUCGGAAGCAAGACUUACGGCUGCUGGUGAGGUGUGGGUGUGGGAAAGUUGAAUGAAGGUAGAGAGGCAGCAAGAGCCAAGAGCCAAGAGCCAAGACCCAAGACCCAAGAGAGACUGUCAAUAGAAACGAAAACGAUUAAGUUUAGGGAUUAGACUUUUUUUUUUAUUCAAGUUAUAUAUAUUUUUUAUUUAAAAAACCGGAUCCGGAUAUCCGGUUUUCCUGAUGCAAGUGCAUCUGGAUCCGCCUCCGGAUCCGUGUGGAUUUGAGUUUUUCAUAUCCGGAUCCGGAUUUUCCGGAUCCUUGCGGAUGCAGGCCGGACCCGGAUUUUACUGCCAUCCCAACGCGGAGGAAAGAAUGUGCCUGAUUAGCUCGCUUUCGGUCAUCCGAUGCAAAAGAGUUUAGCGCGGAAGAGCAGCUCUUAGUUGAAAUUUUGCAAAUAGAUAUUUUAAUUAAACAUUUUAUUCUGCUUAUUAUUAUUAUUAUUAUUAUUAUUAUUAUUAUUAUUAUUAUUAUUAUUAUUAUUAUUAUUAUUAUUAUUAUUAUUAUUAUUAUUAUUAUUAUUAUUAUUAUUAUUAUUAUUAUUAUUAUUAUUAUUAUUAUUAUUAUUAUUAUUAUUAUUAUUAUUAUUAUUAUUAUUAUUAUUAUUAUUAUUAUUAUUAAUAAUAAUAAAAAUAUAUAAUAAAUAGUAAAAUUGUUAAUUGUCCUUUCAUAUUCAUGCCAUCAGAGUUUGUUAAAAAAAAAAAUUGCUUGAUAUUGUUAAAAAUUAAAUGCAUUGGUGUGAAAAUGAAUAUAUAACAAAAAAAAGUCUCAUCCAUUUGUAAUCGUUAUGAUAAUAAAUUUUGUACCAAACCUAUACAAAUUUCUUAUCUCCAUAUUUGUUUACAAAUUGCAAAACACAAAUAGCCUUAAAUGUUAGCUGAAUUUAAAAAAAAAAAAUCAAAAAAUAACUAUAAAAAUAGCCCUCUCAAAAACUAUUUGUAUUAAGCAAUUUAGCCAACAGCUAUUAUCUUGUUCAGCAUUGAAUAUCCAAUGUCGGGUCAGUUAUUACAUAGAUACAAAUUGUGUGCCGAGCAUUAUUCUUAUAAUUUAUAUGACUAACAAAAAAAAAUUAGGAGAAAGAGACAGACACAUAAAAGAGAUUAAAAAAAAAAAAGAGAAAACUAAUUCUGUCAACUAAAUUACAACCGAGGUCUUCACAAACAGGAAAUAGCUUAACACAAUGAUCGUUUUAUUACAUUAGCUAUGUAACAAAACUGUUUCAGAUCCUGCAAACUCAAGAUCAUCAUGGUUAAAACAGUAUCCGAUCUUGAUAAAUGUCCAAUGCCUUGGUAACCUUAUCGAUGAAUAAUUUCCGGUGCAAUCUAUACCUGCAUUAUUUCAGAUUUUCAAGAAACGAAUCACUAAAAAUUGCUUUUGAUUUGCAGUUCAACUAGAAGCAAAAAAGUUCUCAAAAGGACUAAACUACAUACUUGAUUGCGGCUUCAAGGGUCCUCCUAGGUUCUUUCAUAGAAUCUGUGAGUUGGUAAAAAGAUGAAAAAAAAUAAACAUAAGCACUGAAUAACAAUUAUAUUUCUAUUGGAACAAAAGUAAAUAUGCUUAUAAUAAGAGUAUCAAGCGGUUAAAGUCUAGGAAGGAGUUAAAUAUGAAUAGCAACUUUACCCAGCAUUUUCUGAUCUUGUUUAGAAGUGGUAGGGAACUCUGCUAGCAUCUGUCGGCAUUCUUCCUGUAAUUCCUUCACAGCUUUUCUUUCUAUGCUUGGAACCAGGGGCACAUCCCCGUCUGACCAAGUGGGCAGUGUUCUUGCUGCUGCUAUGACUGCUCCAUCGAUGAAACUUUCUUCGUCACUUGAUAUUUUACCUAUUAUCAAUUUUAUGCAGAUCUUACAGUGAUGCUAGAAUCGAAUUGCUAGAUAGUAAUAUACAGCUUUUUGUGAAAAGGAAAUCAAAGAACUAUGCAGAACACGUACUAUUAUGGUAAUAUUCUUCAGGAAGACCGGAUAUAUUGAAAACUGACAAGAAAGAAUCCAAAUGUAUGCGGGCAUCGCCAGAAAACUGAAUUACAUUCCAAGGAUUCUGCAGUUUAACAAGCGAGACAUACGUGUGUGUUAAUAUUGAAGAGAAGUGAUCAUUUAAGAAAUCAAAUUUAAAAAGCACUAAAAGUAAUCAAGAUUAAAUACUUUUAGAAGAGUCUUUUGAGAGAAUAAACAAUACAUUACUCUCUUAGUGCAACCAGAACCACAUAAUCUAAAACAGGAAUCCGUUACUGAUGAGCAAAUUGAGAGAAAAUUACCACUGGUGACGAAAAACCAUAUCUUUGCAUAAGCAUGUCGUUCAUCUGCCCAUGCAUAUAAUUGACAGUCAUCUGUAAAAAUUUUACAAGAUCAAUGAGGAACUAAUGCAAUAUGUCAAUUUAUGUAAAAAGGGUUAUUUGAGAACAAGAAAAAGAGUAAUAAAAUAAGAUAAGAGAAUCAGAAUGGGACAAACUCUAAAUAGUCAACAUUAAUUUCGUGGGAUGCAGUAUAGACCCAGGAACUGUGGAAGCUUUUGCAACUACUUUACUGAUAGUACUCAAGUGAUUUAGGCCAACAAUGGGGGCAAUAACACUCAUCAUAGAACUUAGAAAGCUUGUGAAUGCUGGAAGCCAAUCCUCUAGGCUUCUCAUAUGCAAUGGUGUCACUAAAAGACUUAUUUUGAAGUCAUGAAGAAAGAAUUGUUCACAGGACAAAGCUUAAAUGACUACCAAUUUUCAACAUAAGGCAGAUCCCUUGAUGAUAUGAACAGAUUAGUGUUUGCUGUAGUUGGAAAAAUGUACAUGCAGUUUGGUUUUCAGUUAGAAAGCAACAUAUUGGUCCUAUAAUGGUUGACAUGGGGUUUUAUAACUGCAGUGCUCCAAUUUCUAUUGCUAUUCUGUUUCGACUAUAACUGAAAAAGUUCACUAAAAUAAACUGGUUUUGGCCAUCAUGCAUCAGAAUAUAUCAUAAUUUAGCAUAUUGCUAAAUAUCUUAAAUCAUUUCUACAUCCACUAAACACUUGCUCGACAAACAAUGUUUCACUCAGUUUUGUCUCUGCCAUCAGUGCUCUGUGCACAUUUCUACAUAUAGAUAUAUAUAUUCAAACUAAUUUAAGGCAUAUGUAAACAUCAAACUCUAGAAUAUAUUACCUCUUCUCCCCUUCUAACGUGUUGUCCAGCAUUUACCAUCACCUCAAGCAUGCGAUCCUUAAAACGCCAAUGGAAAAAGCAAUUUGGCUGAAACGAAUGGUUUAGCAUGUCUGCGAAAUAAGAUUGAAGUUACAAAACAGGAACAUAUUAAUAAAUAGCCAAAGCAACUACAAUUAAGCAAAUGUGGCUAAUGAAAAGCAGAUGAAUAGGAAUGAAAUAACAUUACAUCCAAGACAACUAAUAAGUAAACAAAAUGGUGAAUAAAUUGAGAACAAAUAUAGGAUAGACAUAUAAAGAACAUGGCAAUGGUUGGAAUCUAGAAAAGAGAGAACAACCAAAGAUUAACAGAUAAAAAUAAAAAAAGAGAAGGUGUCAUCACAUAACAUCUAUGCAAUUGUUUUCAAUCUACUUGCCAUUAACAUUUAUGAAUGAAAAACUUCAUGUUCUUCUUGUUAAUUAAAGCUUACAUAGAAUACUUCCUGUCAAGUACAACAUACAAGUGAGAAUUUUUUUAAUGAAGUUAAACAUCAGAUGAUAUACAGCAAUCCUGUAUGCAUUUCUCUACAUUAUAUCAUAAAUAUGAUGACAAGCUAUCAACUAAUAUAAGUAGAAGAAUGUGACGACAAAUGUUUACCAGCAUAAGGGAUUAGCAUGUUUGCAUCUUGUACCAAAGCACCAAUCCUCACUUGCAUGUUAAUGCACCGUGACUGGGCAAUACUUACUGCCCAAAUAAAUCUUUCAGGAUCAUGAGCAAGACGCUUUAUCUUGAGGGGAACACCUGAGUGCUGAGCGACAUUAAAAAAGACAAGCAGCUCCAUCAAUUAAAGGGUAGAUAAAAGUUGUGAGAUAAUAAGAACAUUUUAUACUGUGCAACAUCUAAUUUCUUGGUACCCAGUUUUUUUCCCAGAAUUCUCGGGCUCUUUUUUGUUGUUCUCUCAUAGUUGAAGCAAGAUUUGGGUCCUGCAGCUCCAUAAGGUCCUCCUACAAGACACAUAGAACAAUGAGGAAGAGGAAAAAUGUUAAUUUUGCUUCACAGAGCUGUAGAGAAAAGAGUUGUAAAGAUAACAAGUUGAUUAGUGACAAAGGAUUAUCUAACAGACACUUAGAAUGAAAGCAAGUUCAGAUAAGAAAUAAAUAACAUUAAUGUUAGAAUGACACAGAAAAUAACUUUAAGUGGUAAGGCUUGGGUUUUCCACAGCCGAUGAUCUCAUUCAACUUCUUGUUCUUCUUCUUUUGGAGAAAAAAGUUAAGUAGAUUGUAUAUACAAAACAAGAUCUACAAAAGGUGAACGAGAUGUCCACUAACCCCAAAACCACCUUAAGAAUUUACAAUGAUCUCAUUCAACUUGAAGAUAGAUUAUUUAUUUCAAACAUAUAAUCUGCCCAUAAGCAUGUCAAAGUUAAAGAACUAAUUUCAAAAAGUUAAUAUGUUUGUAUAUGUAGUCAUUCAGUCAUGUUUUCCUCUCCUGCAAUUUAGCAAAGAAAGCAUAAUGAAUUAAUGAAAUGUCAUAAGGCAAACAAAUAAAUGUUUUCAUUAUGUUAAAUCCUCAAGACUCAUACUUUCAUUUUUUUUAAUAAAAUAAAAAUAAAAAUGGAGAAAUCAGUCGGCUAACAUUUGGAUGUCUUGUGAGAGAUGGAGAUACUAAACAUUAAGAACCUUUCAAUCAACAGCUGGCUAGUAGAAUCUUAUAUGAGAUCAUUAUCUUCAUGGGCCUGAGACAUUAGAAGACAAGUUAUGUGCACAUAAAUAUUUGACACAUGAGCCUUGAGGUUCAUCCCAAGGCAUUUCCCUCAUCCUUGAUCAAGGUAGGACUCUAAGCGGAAGACAUAAGCGCAUAUGCAUUACGAAAAUGUCAGUAUAUAAUACAAGGAAUGUCCCAUAUAUGUCUAGAUUACAAACUUUAGAGUUAAUUGCAUGAAAUAAUCAGUAAUAUCACUGGAAGAACACAAGUCACAAUCUAUAUGCAUAUAUGGUUUCCCAUUCUGUGGAUCACGCACCUCUGUCGCAAGAAGCAAGCUAGUACACUCAUCUGCAUUAGGUAAGAAGUCACCAUAUAAUUGCCAAAAAUUAUCGUCCUGAUCAAAUGCAUAUAAAAGAAGGCAUGCCAAUCUAAGGUCCCAAUCUGUCUGCCAAUAGAGAAAUCUAUCAUAAUUACACAUUUGGAUAUAAAAAAAGAUAUUGAACUCAGCUCUUAAGAUUCCAUUAUCAACAGAAUAUAUAGUAAUGGAAUACACAAAAAGAGAGAAAUUAAAAAAAAAAGAAAAAGAUAUGCCAAUGCAAUGGUGAAGAUUCAAUAAUUGAAAAUAAGAUCAAGAGCUAAUCUCUGAUAUUUAGAAGAAACUAAGUUACCU
This 23103-nucleotide long non-coding RNA is filed under the name Citrus sinensis (sweet orange). RNAcentral describes it as "long non-coding RNA (CSIN_LNC000636)". Lineage: Eukaryota; Viridiplantae; Streptophyta; Magnoliopsida; Sapindales; Rutaceae. The record is from RNAcentral.